This 446-nucleotide ribosomal RNA is filed under the name uncultured bacterium. Its description in RNAcentral is "SSU rRNA". It matches the Rfam family "Bacterial small subunit ribosomal RNA", at positions 26 to 518 of the family's 1533-position model. The record is from RNAcentral.
AGAGCGAACGCUGGCGGCAGGCCUAAUACAUGCAAGUCGAACGAACCCUUCGGGGUUAGUGGCGGACGGGUGAGUAACGCGUGGGAACGUGCCCUUUGGUUCGGAACAACUCAGGGAAACUUGAGCUAAUACCGGAUAAGCCCUUCGGGGGAAAGAUUUAUCGCCAUUGGAGCGGCCCGCGUCUGAUUAGCUAGUUGGUGAGGUAAAGGCUCACCAAGGCUACGAUCAGUAGCUGGUCUGAGAGGAUGAUCAGCCACACUGGGACUGAGACACGGCCCAGACUCCUACGGGAGGCAGCAGUAGGGAAUCUUGCGCAAUGGGCGAAAGCCUGACGCAGCCAUGCCGCGUGAAUGAUGAAGGUCUUAGGAUUGUAAAAUUCUUUCAGCGGGGACGAUAAUGACGGUACCCGCAGAAGAAGCCCCGGCUAACUUCGCGCCAGCAGCCGC